AGUAAAUACAAACUGGAGCCAGGAAUGACUACCUUUAACAUAAAUAACAUGGCCAGCGGCUCCUACUAAGAAAGCCAAAGUGCACACCAUUUUCUAAUAUGUCUCAGGCUUGACACAGCUCUGCCUUCUUUCAGGUGAGAACCCUGUGUUUGCUUCCUCUUUCAGUCUCUCAGGACUUCUGAGUUCAAAGGUCCUAAAGCAGGAGAAGCUGCAGACUUCCAGGGUCAGGGGCCCCGAUGCAAGCAGGCCAUGUGUCUGAAGACAAGCAGAUACAAUCCUGGGGAGAUGACUGGACUUCCAACCCAGAAGAGAAAGCCCCACCCUGUGUCCUGCCGUGAAGUAACUCUUAUUUUUGGCAAGACAUUAAAAUUACUCACCUAUAAAGAAGAGUUUCUUUCCAUCUCUACAACUUAAGGAAACCUCGAGUCUCAUAGCAUCUGACCCUAAAUAUCCUUGUUUUGCCAUGUAUGUCAUCUAAGUAGUGUGUGGUUGGAGAAUAAAUCAUGAGAGAAUGGAAGAACUGUGGCUUUUGAACUGUUCUCUUUCACAGAAACUCCUUCCUCC
RNAcentral lists this long non-coding RNA (564 nucleotides) under Dasypus novemcinctus (nine-banded armadillo). Its description in RNAcentral is "lncRNA (ENSDNOG00000052160.1)". Lineage: Eukaryota; Metazoa; Chordata; Mammalia; Cingulata; Dasypodidae. The record is from RNAcentral.